GGAUGUGAGGGCGAUCUGGCUGCGACAUCUGUCACCCCAUUGAUCGCCAGGGUUGAUUCGGCUGAUCUGGCUGGCUAGGCGGGUGUCCCCUUCCUCCCUCACCGCUCCAUGUGCGUUCCUCCCGAAGCUGCGCGCUCGGUCGAAGAGGACGACCAUCCCCGAUAGAGGAGGACCGUUCUUCGGUCAAGGGUAUACGAGUAGCUGUGCUCCCCUGCUAGAACCUCCAAACAAGCUCUCAAAAUCUGUCAAUAAUGUAAACUUUUCUAGAAAAAUGGAAGACUGGAGGAGGAUCCAAGAUGGCGACUAGAAUGCAGAAGCAGACAGAGUGAGCUCCAUAAAUCAAUAAUCUUGCUG
This 354-nucleotide small nuclear RNA is filed under the name Castor canadensis (American beaver). Its description in RNAcentral is "7SK RNA (ENSCCNG00000008332.1)". The stretch from base 1 to 281 matches the Rfam family "7SK RNA". Rfam says of the family: 7SK was discovered as an abundant small nuclear RNA in the mid-70s but a possible function has only recently been suggested. The record is from RNAcentral. Lineage: Eukaryota; Metazoa; Chordata; Mammalia; Rodentia; Castoridae.